GCUGCCAUAGCUCAGUGGUAGAGCGCCACCUUGGUAAGGUGGAGGUCCUGGGUUCAAGCCCCAGUGGCAGCU
This 72-nucleotide transfer RNA is filed under the name Humisphaera borealis. RNAcentral describes it as "tRNA-Thr". It matches the Rfam family "tRNA". From Rfam's summary of the family: Transfer RNA (tRNA) molecules are approximately 80 nucleotides in length. Their secondary structure includes four short double-helical elements and three loops (D, anti-codon, and T loops). RNAcentral also lists the same sequence under 1 other name. The record is from RNAcentral. Lineage: Bacteria; Pseudomonadati; Planctomycetota; Phycisphaerae; Tepidisphaerales; Tepidisphaeraceae.